AGCUCCAAUAGCGUAUAUUAAAGUUGUUGCAGUUAAAAAGCUCGUAGUUGGAUUUGUGGUGUGUCCAGUCGGCCUUUGCUCUCUGAGUGAGUGAUUGUGCUGUACUGGUCUGCCAUGUUUGGGUGGAAUCUGUGUGGCAUUAAGUUGUCGUGCAGGGGAUGCCCAUCGUUUACUGUGAAAAAAUUAGAGUGUUCAAAGCAGGCUUAUGCCGUUGAAUAUAUUAGCAUGGAAUAAUGAUAUAGGACCUUGGUACUAUUUUGUUGGUUUGCGCACUAAGGUAAUGAUUAAGAGGGACAGUUGGGGGUAUUUGUAUUCCAUUGUCAGAGGUGAAAUUCUUAGAUUUUUGGAAGACAAACUACUGCGAAAGCAUUUACCAAGGAUGUUUUCA
Molecule: ribosomal RNA, 388 nt
Filed under: uncultured eukaryote
Lineage: Eukaryota
Description: SSU rRNA
Rfam family: Eukaryotic small subunit ribosomal RNA
Source: RNAcentral